GCCUUCGUGGUGUAGUGGUCUGCACGCUGGGCCGGAAUUCCAGAGGUCCCUGGUUCGAUUCCCGGCGAAGGCA
RNAcentral lists this transfer RNA (73 nucleotides) under Stegodyphus dumicola. RNAcentral's name for it is "tRNA-Ser". It matches the Rfam family "tRNA". Rfam says of the family: Transfer RNA (tRNA) molecules are approximately 80 nucleotides in length. Their secondary structure includes four short double-helical elements and three loops (D, anti-codon, and T loops). Further hydrogen bonds mediate the characteristic L-shaped molecular structure. tRNAs have two regions of fundamental functional importance: the anti-codon, which is responsible for specific mRNA codon recognition, and the 3' end, to which the tRNAs corresponding amino acid is attached (by aminoacyl-tRNA synthetases). tRNAs cope with the degeneracy of the genetic code in two manners: having more than one tRNA (with a specific anti-codon) for a particular amino acid; and 'wobble' base-pairing, i.e. permitting non-standard base-pairing at the 3rd anti-codon position. The record is from RNAcentral. Lineage: Eukaryota; Metazoa; Arthropoda; Arachnida; Araneae; Eresidae.